AAUCAACGCUGGCGGCGUGCCUCAGACAUGCAAGUCGAACGAUUAAAGCUCUCUUCGGAGAGUGCAUAGAGUGGCGCACGGGUGAGUAACACGUAAGUAAUCUACCUUCGAGUGGGGAAUAACGUCCGGAAACGGACGCUAAUACCGCAUAAUGCAGCGGCAUCGCAAGAUGACAGUUGUUAAAGGAGCAAUUCGCUUGAAGAGGAGCUUGCGGCAGAUUAGCUUGUUGGUAAGGUAACGGCUUACCAAGGCUACGAUCUGUAACCGGUCUAAGAGGACGGUCGGUCACACUGACACUGAAUAACGGGUCAGACUCCUACGGGAGGCAGCAGUCGGGAAUUUUGGGCAAUGGGGG
RNAcentral lists this ribosomal RNA (355 nucleotides) under uncultured bacterium. Its description in RNAcentral is "bacterial SSU rRNA". It matches the Rfam family "Bacterial small subunit ribosomal RNA", at positions 32 to 377 of the family's 1533-position model. The record is from RNAcentral.